CAAAUGUUUCACUCGAAACUACAACCAUUUCUGGUUACAGAGCUACCAAAUAAAAUCUAAAUAAGAUUAAAAACACAAAGAGUUAUUUAUCUGUUCCCAAAAAAAUCCAUGGCUGAAGCUGCAGACAGUCAACGAUUGAAGUCAGUUUCCACCCACGAGAAAAAGGAAAACGAAAGGCAGCCAUAGACGGACCACUCAGUAAAGUCUUCUUCUUCUUCUUCUUAUUCUUACGUAGAACGGAUGGGACAAGAGGCAAGAGCAGCAGCAACGUCAAAAUAUCAUAUGGGGAAUCAUCACCGAGCUCGCUUCACCCUCAUGAUCUCCUCUUUCAUCGUCAUCAUGUUUUGGUUAGCAGCAUUACAGCAGGCAGAGGCGGACGACGGGUGGCAGAUGCCGAGUAGGUACUACUCUUCCAAGGCGUUUACUACUCUUCCGAACCGCGGUUGCGGCGAUACUUGUCCGGCUCCUGUCCAUGAGCCGCAACCUCCUCCAGUGAAGCGACCCCCACGCCGACCAUAAGCCUCCCAGUGGGCUUCCCGUGCAACGUUGACGUACGUUGAUCGAGUAUAUGCAUGUUUCUGUUUUCUCAGCUUGCUUCUGUCUGCAGCAACAAAAAUAUUCGAAGAGAAUAAAAAGUAUCUAUUUUGUCAA
Musa acuminata AAA Group (dessert banana) is the source of this 651-nucleotide long non-coding RNA. RefSeq lists it as uncharacterized. Lineage: Eukaryota; Viridiplantae; Streptophyta; Magnoliopsida; Zingiberales; Musaceae. The transcript has 2 exons. The record is from RefSeq and is a predicted model, not a curated record.